GAUGAACGCUAGCUACAGGCUUAACACAUGCAAGUCGAGGGGAAACGAUAUUGGAAGCUUGCUUCCGAUAGGCGUCGACCGGCGCACGGGUGAGUAACGCGUAUCCAACCUGCCCACCACUUGGGGAUAACCUUGCGAAAGUAAGACUAAUACCCAAUGACGUCCAUAGAAGACAUCUGAAAUGGAUUAAAGAUUUAUCGGUGAUGGAUGGGGAUGCGUCUGAUUAGCUUGUUGGCGGGGUAACGGCCCACCAAGGCGACGAUCAGUAGGGGUUCUGAGAGGAAGGUCCCCCACAUUGGAACUGAGACACGGUCCAAACUCCUACGGGAGGCAGCAGUGGGGAAUAUUGGUCAAUGGGCGAGAGCCUGAACCAGCCAAGUAGCGUGCAGGAUGACGGCCCUAUGGGUUGUAAACUGCUUUUAUAAGGGAAUAAAGUGAGUCUCGUGAGGCUUUUUGCAUGUACCUUAUGAAUAAGGACCGGCUAAUUCCGUGCCAGCAGCCGCAGUAA
RNAcentral lists this ribosomal RNA (508 nucleotides) under uncultured bacterium. Its description in RNAcentral is "partial 16S ribosomal RNA". It matches the Rfam family "Bacterial small subunit ribosomal RNA", at positions 28 to 523 of the family's 1533-position model. The record is from RNAcentral.